UAAUACAUUACAACUUUCAGCGGUGGAUGUCUAGGUUCCCACAACGAUGAAGAACGCAGCGAAAUGYGAUACGUAAUGCGAAUUGCAAGACCUCGUGAAUCAUUAAGAUUUUGAACACACAUUGUGCUUUCGGGUAUUCCCGGUAGCAUGCUUGUCUGAGUGUCUGCGGAU
This 171-nucleotide ribosomal RNA is filed under the name Pseudo-nitzschia multiseries. Its description in RNAcentral is "5.8S ribosomal RNA". It matches the Rfam family "5.8S ribosomal RNA". Rfam says of the family: 5.8S ribosomal RNA (5.8S rRNA) is a component of the large subunit of the eukaryotic ribosome. Lineage: Eukaryota; Bacillariophyta; Bacillariophyceae; Bacillariales; Bacillariaceae. The record is from RNAcentral.